RNAcentral lists this ribosomal RNA (523 nucleotides) under uncultured bacterium. RNAcentral describes it as "partial 16S ribosomal RNA". It matches the Rfam family "Bacterial small subunit ribosomal RNA", at positions 28 to 523 of the family's 1533-position model. The record is from RNAcentral.
GACGAACGCUGGCGGCGUGCCUAAUACAUGCAAGUCGAACGCUUUUUCUUUCACCGGAGCUUGCUCCACCGAAAGAAAAAGAGUGGCGAACGGGUGAGUAACACGUGGGUAACCUGCCCAUCAGAAGGGGAUAACACUUGGAAACAGGUGCUAAUACCGUAUAACACUAUUUUCCGCAUGGAAGAAAGUUGAAAGGCGCUUUUGCGUCACUGAUGGAUGGACCCGCGGUGCAUUAGCUAGUUGGUGAGGUAACGGCUCACCAAGGCAACGAUGCAUAGCCGACCUGGGAGGGUGAUCGGCCACACUGGGACUGAGACACGGCCCAGACUCCUACGGGAGGCAGCAGUAGAGAAUCUUCGGCAAUGGACGAAAGUCUGACCGAGCAACGCCGCGUGAGUGAAGAAGGUUUUCGGAUCGUAAAACUCUGUUGUUAGAGAAGAACAAGGAUGAGAGUAAAAUGUUCAUCCCUUGACGGUAUCUAACCAGAAAGCCACGGCUAACUACGUGCCAGCAGCCGCCGCCG